Pelmatolapia mariae (spotted tilapia) is the source of this 685-nucleotide long non-coding RNA. RefSeq lists it as uncharacterized. The record is from RefSeq and is a predicted model, not a curated record. Lineage: Eukaryota; Metazoa; Chordata; Actinopteri; Cichliformes; Cichlidae. The transcript has 5 exons.
CAGGCGCCUACGGGACUAGACCGAGCGACAGCGACUGCGUGCUGUUCGCGCCCCGACACGAAGCGGGCUCCGAUGGACAGACUACCGUGUGCUUGCUAAAGCUGGUGCUCAGAAGAAGAGGGCGGCUUUACUUGGUGUCAGUGACAGAAAUGAAAAAAAGCUGAAAUGAGUGAGAAGGACGAUGAAGGAAACAUCUGUGCUGUGUCUGCUCUACGGUGGUGGAUCUGCAGGAAGAACUGAGGACGUCCGUCAUGGACAAAUCAUCAUCAUCAUCAUCAGAGAGAAGAGAGAGUCCGAGCUGAGAGAAAGCCACAGACUCCGAGCAAGAGGGCGACUUUACUUGGUGUCAGAGACAGAAAUGAGAAAAAGCUGAAAUGAGUGAGAAGGACGAUGAAGGAAACAUCUGUGCUGUGUCUGCUCUAGUUUCUACCAGAGCCAAAUGUCAUCGACUCCUCACUGAAGUCGUCCACCAGUCCAACCACUGGAAUCCAGCUGCUGCUCUCUACAGGGAGUGCAGAAUUAUUAGGCAAAUGAGUAUUUUGUCCACAUCAUCCUCUUCAUGCAUGUUGUCUCACUCCAAGCUGUAUAGGCUCGAAAGCCUACUACCAAUUAAGCAUAUUAGGUGAUGUGCAUCUCUGUAAUGAGAAGGGGUGUGGUCUAAUGACAUCAACACCCUAUAUCAGGU